Molecule: ribosomal RNA, 427 nt
Filed under: uncultured bacterium
Lineage: Bacteria
Description: partial 16S ribosomal RNA
Rfam family: Bacterial small subunit ribosomal RNA
Source: RNAcentral
GUGGGGAAUAUUGCACAAUGGGCGAAAGCCUGAUGCAGCAACGCCGCGUGAAGGAUGAAGGCCUUUGGGUCGUAAACUUCUGUCCUUGGGGAAGAAAAAAAUGACGGUACCCCUGGAGGAAGUCCCGGCUAACUACGUGCCAGCAGCCGCGGUAAUACGUAGGGGGCGAGCGUUAUCCGGAAUUAUUGGGCGUAAAGAGUACGUAGGUGGUUUUUUAAGCGCAGGGUUUAAGGCGAUGGCUCAACUGUCGUUCGCCCUGUGAACUGGAAGACUUGAGUACAGGAGAGGAAAGCGGAAUUCCUAGUGUAGCGGUGAAAUGCAUAGAUAUUAGGAGGAACACCAGUGGCGAAGGCGGCUUUCUGGACUGUAACUGACACUGAGGUACGAAAGCGUGGGGAGCAAACAGGAUUAGAUACCCCUGUAGUCC